UUUUUAAGUAGAUCAAUAGUUACCGUUCCGGUUGGAAGGUAACAGCGCUUCAUGCCGGCCACAUGACCUUGGAGGUGUCUACGGACAACGCCGGCUCUUCGGAGCAGUACCUAUUGAUCUACUCACAUUUGCAUGUUUUCAAACUGCUAGGUUGGCAGAAGCUGGGGCUAACAGUGCGUGCUCACUCCGCUCCCCGGAUUCGAACCUGCGACCUUUCAGUCUGCAAGUUCAGCCCUUUAACCCGCUGCGCCUCCGGUAGCCCAUUUUGAGGGGUUACACUUUUGCAAACCAUCUCUCUUCAAAUCUACAGAACUUUUAAAAAAUAACUUUUCAAAGUUCCACUUUAAAUAACUGGAAACUAACCACAAAAUCAGUGAGGAUCCCAAAAUGUACUGGACUUAACGUCAGAGGAAACUUUUACCUUUACCUAUAUUACUAUGAAAACUAACAAAAUCUGGCUACCAAUAUUUAAAAAAACUCCAAAAUCAGAACAGUAAAUAAGGAGCAGCACUCUGAAAACAGAAGAAUUCCAGACAGGAAUCAAUCAGGGGCAGCUAAUGACUCUGAACAAAGGAUGUGAGACAAGCUGGAAAGCGUCCAGAGGAGGGCAACUAAAAUGAUCGAGGGUCUGGAGAAAUGGAGAUGAGCACCAAAAUCGGACACAACUAGACUUAAUAUCAAGGGGAAACCUUUACCUUUAGCGAGUGAACACCUCAGUAUGGAUGGUCUCUGAAGCCAACUGAGAACAUUUCGGGAUAUUUUUAUAUAACAACUCCCUCCAAAUCCCUCAGGUGAUCCUAGAAAUUGUCAUCCCAAAAACUAACUUUUCCAAGCAGUGUUCUGCAGCCGCACCGCAAGCCUGCUCUGUUUUCUGCGCAUGCAACAGGGAGCCACGAUUGGCCACAGCUCCCCAGGCGCAUGUACAAAGCUUGAAACACAUUUGCGCUAAUAUCCCCUUUUGAAAUGUAACAGUUGUCAGUACAGGAACAUGUUGCAAUUUCAGAG
Molecule: long non-coding RNA, 1005 nt
Filed under: Anolis carolinensis (green anole)
Lineage: Eukaryota; Metazoa; Chordata; Lepidosauria; Squamata; Anolidae
Description: lncRNA (ENSACAG00000038530.1)
Source: RNAcentral